RNAcentral lists this long non-coding RNA (266 nucleotides) under Brassica napus (rape). RNAcentral describes it as "long non-coding RNA (BNAP_LNC010692)". Lineage: Eukaryota; Viridiplantae; Streptophyta; Magnoliopsida; Brassicales; Brassicaceae. The record is from RNAcentral.
AGCCUCUGAUGCAACUACCAACCCUUCUCCAUCUUCACCUCCUACCACCAAUGAGCCGAGAAUCUAGAUGGCGUUGCUGACUUUCUGUUAGCUUUUUUUUCUGGGAAAUUGAAGACAUAACAGUUAGAAUCUUUUUUGUGUUAUGUCUGUUAGUUUUCACAUAUCGGUUUCAUAUUCUGUUUCUACUAAAUGAAUGCUUUGUUUCCAUUAUGUUCCAAGUGUUUCAGUUUAUUUUUAUGCUGUUAUAGAUUUAAAAAAUCAAUCUA